GUGCGCACUUGGGCAGCACAUACACUACAACUGGGAUGAUACCGACAAAAUUUGCAUGGCCUCUGAGCGAGGGUGACAUGCAAAUUUGUGAAGCGUUCCAUAUUUUC
Molecule: small nuclear RNA, 107 nt
Filed under: Propithecus coquereli (Coquerel's sifaka)
Lineage: Eukaryota; Metazoa; Chordata; Mammalia; Primates; Indriidae
Source: RNAcentral